This 291-nucleotide ribosomal RNA is filed under the name Azospirillum sp. JC44. Its description in RNAcentral is "partial 16S ribosomal RNA". It matches the Rfam family "Bacterial small subunit ribosomal RNA", at positions 1085 to 1378 of the family's 1533-position model. Lineage: Bacteria; Pseudomonadati; Pseudomonadota; Alphaproteobacteria; Rhodospirillales; Azospirillaceae. The record is from RNAcentral.
UCCCGCAACGAGCGCAACCCCUACCGCCUGUUGCCAUCAUUCAGUUGGGCACUCUGGUGGAACUGCCGGUGACAAGCCGGAAGAAGGCGGGGAUGACGUCAAGUCCUCAUGGCCCUUAUGGGUUGGGCUACACACGUGCUACAAUGGCGGUGACAGUGGGAUGCGAAGUCGCAAGAUGGAGCCAAUCCCCAAAAGCCGUCUCAGUUCGGAUUGCACUCUGCAACUCGGGUGCAUGAAGUUGGAAUCGCUAGUAAUCGCGGAUCAGCACGCCGCGGUGAAUACGUUCCCGGG